RNAcentral lists this ribosomal RNA (1075 nucleotides) under Arthrobacter psychrochitiniphilus. Its description in RNAcentral is "bacterial SSU rRNA". It matches the Rfam family "Bacterial small subunit ribosomal RNA", at positions 54 to 1130 of the family's 1533-position model. The record is from RNAcentral. Lineage: Bacteria; Bacillati; Actinomycetota; Actinomycetes; Micrococcales; Micrococcaceae.
CAUGCAAGUCGAACGAUGAACCUCGCUUGCGGGGGGAUUAGUGGCGAACGGGUGAGUAACACGUGAGUAACCUGCCCUUAACUCUGGGAUAAGCCUUGGAAACGAGGUCUAAUACUGGAUAUUGACUUUACCUCGCAUGGGGUUUUGUUGAAAGAUUUAUUGGUUUUGGAUGGACUCGCGGCCUAUCAGCUUGUUGGUGAGGUAAUGGCUCACCAAGGCGACGACGGGUAGCCGGCCUGAGAGGGUGACCGGCCACACUGGGACUGAGACACGGCCCAGACUCCUACGGGAGGCAGCAGUGGGGAAUAUUGCACAAUGGGCGAAAGCCUGAUGCAGCGACGCCGCGUGAGGGAUGACGGCCUUCGGGUUGUAAACCUCUUUCAGUAGGGAACAAGGCCAGCAUUUUUGUUGGUUGAGGGUACUUGCAGAAGAAGCGCCGGCUAACUACGUGCCAGCAGCCGCGGUAAUACGUAGGGCGCAAGCGUUAUCCGGAAUUAUUGGGCGUAAAGAGCUCGUAGGCGGUUUGUCGCGUCUGCCGUGAAAGUCCGGGGCUCAACCCCGGAUCUGCGGUGGGUACGGGCAGACUAGAGUGAUGUAGGGGAGACUGGAAUUCCUGGUGUAGCGGUGAAAUGCGCAGAUAUCAGGAGGAACACCGAUGGCGAAGGCAGGUCUCUGGGCAUUAACUGACGCUGAGGAGCGAAAGCAUGGGGAGCGAACAGGAUUAGAUACCCUGGUAGUCCAUGCCGUAAACGUUGGGCACUAGGUGUGGGGGACAUUCCACGUUUUCCGCGCCGUAGCUAACGCAUUAAGUGCCCCGCCUGGGGAGUACGGCCGCAAGGCUAAAACUCAAAGGAAUUGACGGGGGCCCGCACAAGCGGCGGAGCAUGCGGAUUAAUUCGAUGCAACGCGAAGAACCUUACCAAGGCUUGACAUGAACCGGAAAUACCUGGAAACAGGUGCCCCGCUUGCGGUCGGUUUACAGGUGGUGCAUGGUUGUCGUCAGCUCGUGUCGUGAGAUGUUGGGUUAAGUCCCGCAACGAGCGCAACCCUCGUUCUAUGUUGCCAGCACGUUAUG